GGCAACUUGGCCGAGCGGUCUAAGGCGCCAGACUCAAGCGCAAGCUUCAUCCGUCCCAGCGGAUGAGUAUUCUGGUCUCGAAAGAGGCGUGAGUUCGAAUCUCACAGUUGUCA
Molecule: transfer RNA, 113 nt
Organism: Colletotrichum tofieldiae
Lineage: Eukaryota; Fungi; Ascomycota; Sordariomycetes; Glomerellales; Glomerellaceae
Rfam family: tRNA
About the family: Transfer RNA (tRNA) molecules are approximately 80 nucleotides in length. Their secondary structure includes four short double-helical elements and three loops (D, anti-codon, and T loops).
Source: Rfam